This 703-nucleotide long non-coding RNA is filed under the name Homo sapiens (human). Its description in RNAcentral is "non-protein coding LINC00616:1". The record is from RNAcentral. Lineage: Eukaryota; Metazoa; Chordata; Mammalia; Primates; Hominidae.
AUCAGGGUGUGUUUUCCUUUGUGACAUCAUUAGCUUUUCUUGGGAUCUCAAAGGACCCUGUGCAGCAGGCCACUAUUUGAAUGUGUGUUGCUCCUUGUGGCAGGUAUACUGUUCCAAUGCCCUGGGAUCUCUGUAGUGGUCGGUACUGUAUUGAUUAUAAAUGGUGAAGUCCUAGUAUCUUGCUAGAGUGAGCUGGCCAGGAUGGUGGAGCUCUACCACCAUUUCACAGGUUAUAGACAGGGGCCACCAGGUUUCAGGAAAGCAGCAAUGACCCCUCAGUAAUAGUUGGAAAGUGUGAUAUGACACUGAGCUUCACUGUGUUGGUGAAGAAGAGGUGAGGAAAAUAAAAGCUGCAGUUUGCCUCCACCUCUGAAGAAGCACAAUACACCUUUCUGGGUUACCAAUGGGAUACUUCCCAACAGCUUUGUCAUCACAUACAAUAUUCUCAAACAAGAUCUUAAUGGCAUCUACUUUCUCCAGGAACACAGCCCCUGACCUGUGUGUGUUUGCGUAGAGAAGGCAUGCUAUGUACCCCCUAGGAUAUCAAGAUUCCUGUAGCAGAUUGAGCUCUGGCAGUUGAUCUCAGUGGCUUGAUAGAGUGUCAUUAUAAAAACGCACCUGGAAGAUUCUGUGGAAAAGACAACCUCAGAAGACCAAGAGGCUGACUUUGCAAGAGAGAGUCCGUUUACCACUUAGAACCGUG